Molecule: ribosomal RNA, 487 nt
Filed under: Platydema sp. 1 GJK-2014
Lineage: Eukaryota; Metazoa; Arthropoda; Insecta; Coleoptera; Tenebrionidae
Description: partial 16S ribosomal RNA
Rfam family: Bacterial large subunit ribosomal RNA
Source: RNAcentral
CAAAAACAUGUCCUUUAGAUAAUAAUUUAAGGUCGGGCCUGCCCAAUGAAUUUUGAAUGGCCGCAGUAUUUUGACUGUGCAAAGGUAGCAUAAUCAUUAGUUUCUUAAUUAGAAGCUUGUAUGAAAGGUUUGAUGAGAAAUCAGCUGUCUUUAUUUAAUUAUUUUAGAAUUUAAUUUUUAAGUCAGAAAGCUUAAAUUUUUUAGAAAGACGAGAAGACCCUAUAGAGUUUUAUUGGUGUUAUUAUUUUUUUUUUGGUUUUAUUUAUUUUAGUAACAUUAAUUUGGUUGGGGUGAUUGGAGAAUUAGAUUAACUUCUUUUUUUUGUUUACAUUGAUUAGUAGUUUUUGAUCCUUUUUUUAAGAUUAAAAGAAAAAAUUACCUUAGGGAUAACAGCGUAAUUUUUUUUGAAAGUUCUUAUUGAAAAAAAAGUUUGCGACCUCGAUGUUGGAUUAAAAUUAAUUUUUGGGGUAGUAGCUAGAAAAUUAGG